ACAGUACUCUGAGCGCGCGAUAUUCGCAUUAUGAUCACUUGGAUGAAUUCCAAGAAAAAAGUAACGGUGAAAAGAGAAAAAAAAGCGAACGAGGAUGCGAACAGAGGUUUGUGGGGAGGACGUUUAUUCAACGCGACA
Molecule: non-coding RNA, 138 nt
Organism: Caenorhabditis elegans
Lineage: Eukaryota; Metazoa; Nematoda; Chromadorea; Rhabditida; Rhabditidae
Source: Ensembl